GUGGAUUAGAUACCCUGGUAGUCCUGGCCGUAAACGAUGGGUACUAGGUGUAGGAGGUAUCGACCCCUUCUGUGCCGGAGUUAACGCAAUAAGUACCCCGCCUGGGGAGUACGACCGCAAGGUUGAAACUCAAAGGAAUUGACGGGGGCCCGCACAAGCGGUGGAGUAUUUGGUUUAAUUCGACGCAACGCGAAGAACCUUACCAGGUCUUGACAUUGAUGGACAGAACUAGAGAUAGUUCCUCUUCUUCGGAAGCCAGAAAACAGGUGGUGCACGGCCGUCGACAACU
RNAcentral lists this ribosomal RNA (289 nucleotides) under uncultured bacterium. RNAcentral's name for it is "partial 16S ribosomal RNA". It matches the Rfam family "Bacterial small subunit ribosomal RNA", at positions 773 to 1060 of the family's 1533-position model. The record is from RNAcentral.